UACGGAGGAUCCAAGCGUUAUCCGGAAUCAUUGGGUUUAAAGGGUCCGCAGGCGGGUCUAUAAGUCAGUGGUGAAAUCUCUGGGCUCAACCCAGAAACUGCCAUUGAUACUGUAGGUCUUGAAUUCAGUCGGAGUAGGCGGAAUGUGUAGUGUAGCGGUGAAAUGCAUAGAUAUUACACAGAACACCGAUAGCGAAGGCAGCUUACUAGGCUUGAAUUGACGCUCAUGGACGAAAGCGUGGGUAGCGAACAGG
This 253-nucleotide ribosomal RNA is filed under the name uncultured bacterium. RNAcentral describes it as "partial 16S ribosomal RNA". It matches the Rfam family "Bacterial small subunit ribosomal RNA", at positions 524 to 776 of the family's 1533-position model. The record is from RNAcentral.